RNAcentral lists this long non-coding RNA (44983 nucleotides) under Pelobates cultripes (western spadefoot toad). The record is from RNAcentral. Lineage: Eukaryota; Metazoa; Chordata; Amphibia; Anura; Pelobatidae.
GGCGUGUUUGCCAUAGCCAAUGACUUAACACGCCCAUCUCUGGCCACACCCCUCUCAUUUCUCUGCUCUGCCUUUAAAUGCCACGGCUAACUUUUUGUCCCAGUCCAGACCUGCCCACAACCAACAUACUGCUGUAUGGAGGAGGGCAUAAAAUAAAACAAGCGUGGUUCGUCUAAUUCCCAUACCCUACGUGUGCCAUUUGCAGCAAUGCAGGUAAGACCACCAAUACAGCAUAAAUCCCUUAUUUUCAAGCCCUUGGCAACAAUUGUGUCCAUAAAGCCUCAGUAAAAAAGCCCCUACUUUCUCCUAAUCUCCCUAAUACACGAAUAUCACACACCGAGGCCAAGCACCCCCUGAGUCUAUUUCUCCUCCGAUUAUGUUACUCCUCCUGACUGGAAGAAUGUCCAGGAUGAUGCAUUAAAGAUACUGCAAAUAAAUAGUCCAGUCAGGAGCAUCAUAUUCUGGUCCACCGGGACUAACCUUAUUACAUAAACUUCUGUAGAUAAACGUCCACAUAAACGUGAGCUGAUUUAUGGGAUAACCCACAGUUCGAGUCAUCACGUAGGAUGUUUAGACCUGCAUUAUAAACUGAUAGUAACAAUAACGUAACUGCUAUCAGUUUAUACACCCCCAAAAUCACUUUUUAGUGAACGAAUGGUACAAGGGAACCUGAUAGUAGGUCCUCUGCCUUUCUCAUUUAAUUCAUAUAUUGUAUUUGAUGCUGGUAGGUGACCUUUAAUGGCCAUUGCAGUGUUACUUAAACCUGUUUUAUAAAUGUGUAUAGGGAUUUGGGAUAGUACACAGGGAUUGUUUAUAUUUUUGUUAUAUUUAAAUCUACAUUUUACAGACAGCAACAUUAACCAGUAGGUGGCAGUAGAGGCUUAAUAAUGUUUAGACAACAGUCACUAUUUGCAUGAAGUACCCAUUCUGUGUUUUUCCUGACAUAAAUGUGUGUAAUUUUUUGGAGCAAUUUAGCAUGCAUAAUAUGAAACAGAUUAUAUAUACACUUUGGUCCAAAAUAAAUAUGCUUGAUGGGGUAAACAUAUUAGAAAUGAACCAAUGUAUCAAAAUAUGUCAUAUUUUUUUGUUAAUGAAUCUCUGCAAUGAGCAGAUUGUAUUGUUCUCAUGUGUUUACUAAUUAAAAGAUGAAGUAUUUUGCUUGAUUAACUUAAACAUUUGCAUCACAAAGAUAUAUUUGUCUUGUUAGUGACUUCUUAAUUCCAUUGUACUUAAUAAAAUAUUUCAGCAGCACAUAAUAACUGUUCACCACAUAAUUUAAAAUCAUAAUAAGUAAAAAGAACAUCAACAAGAGCUUAGUUUGAAAUGUUUAAAGUAUUCAGCAUCAAAUGUAAUAAUAUAUUGCUUAGCAAGAGAAAUUGUCUGGUUUACUCAGCAUUCCUAGAAUAGAUACACAAUGGUUGGUGAUCCAAAAAGCAUUGGAAGAAGAUAUUUUAUUUCUUCUUUUUUUGAAGAAUUAAAAAAAAAAAAAAAAAAAUGAUUUUUCUAUGUAUUUUGGAUUCCAGCAUGCUUAGAUUUAUUCUGUAUUUUACUUCUGUUCAAUUUAAUUUACAGCUGCUAAAUUUGAUGGGUGCUACUAUACGAAAUAUCAUCUGUUUGGCUCUUCAGAUGUUGAAUCCCCUUUAAUCCUCAGGUUGGCUGUUUAAAUAGAAAAACAGAGACUAUGAGAACGCUGAAAACAGGCAAAAGCUUAGAGAAACUCAGUAGGUUUCCCUUCGGUUAGCACCCGCUCAGAUCUCAAAAAUGUUUUUCCUGUUACAAAGAGAACCUUUACCAUUUGCAUAUCAGUCUUAUCCAACCCUUAAGGGCAGUGCAGAAAGGAAAUGCUGAAAGUUCUCUUUGCACAAGAAAUACAGCAACGCGGACGAUCAUUUUAGCCUUCUUUGGGCCUCGUCAGCGAGGUGUCGCUGACAAUCCUCUAAGCACAGGGUUCACAUCUGGAUUACCCAUUUAUCAUUGGAAAAGUCCAAGCAAAUGAAUUGCAACAAAAAGAGAGUAUGAUAACUCUGACAAUGGGCAAAAGCUCAGCGAAACUCAGCAGCUUGUCCUUCUGUUAAUCCCCGCUCAGCUCUCAAAUAUGUUUGUGCUCAAUUGUGCCAUUACAGAUAGAACCUAUACCAUUUACAUAUCAGACUGAUCUCACCCGUAAGGGCAGUUCAGAACCAAAAUGCCUUUUAGUAAGAGGUUCCAACUGAUCAGAAAAGUGGUGCGAAACUCUAAAAGUGGGCCAAUCACCAUGGAAAACAAAUGGAUCUUUCAUUCCUCUGUUUUCCAUUAUGACGGCUCCUUAUCUACAACUCAGCAUUACAUUUUGAUUACAAAUCAAUAUUAAUUUCCCCAUUAAAAAUGUAAAUGUCCCUUUUGUAACAGUAGCAAAAUGACCAUUUAGGUACAAAAUGUAUGAGAUAGAGUAUAGAAAAGCACAUAACAGGUACUAAGGUAUAAAAAGAAAGUGUAGUAAAAUUCUGCUUUUUUUACCUCCCUGAAAAGUUAGAUAUAAAGAAUGAGUAGGUUGUUGCAGAAGAAAGAAGGUUGUUGAAAAACCAAAUUGCCAAACCUUAUUAGAACAUUUGAUGGAUGCAAGCGGGGCUCUUAUGUCAUAAACCCAUUAAAAUUUGGGGAGAUGUGGGUGAUAUAACAUCUGUGCAAUGGCGUCCAGAAACAAUAAGCAACCCCCCCAAACAUAUGUUUGUGCAAGUAAUGCCUAGUGUGUAUGCCACUUUGUGUGUUCAAUGAAUAUGAACAUGUGUCAUUAAUGAGUGUGUGUUUAUUCUGCAGAUGUGCUAUACAUUUUUUCUUUCUCUCAUAGGUUUAAUUAAAAGGUUUAAAUCAAUAUCUGGGAUUUUUCAGACUAUUAUGUAGGUGUGUGUGCAUGAACGCACGCACGUGAUUAUGUAUGUAUUAUGCACACACACAAACAUGCCUAAUGAAAUACAUUUCCUCUCCAGGUGGCAUGUAACCUAUGUACACCAUUGCAUAAAUAUCACAUCAUAACAUAUGCUCUUUUAAACAAAGCAUUAAACCAUGAGUAUAACAAUUCUAGAUGUGAUAGAAAUAUAUUAUAUGAAUGCAACAAAUAAAUAAUGGAGUUACUAUUACUAUGCAGCUUAGUCAUUGUUAAAUUUGUAUAUUGCCAAUGUGUCUUUAUCUUCAAAAAUAAUAGAUAGAUUCAAAAUUCAUUCAGAAUUCAAUGCUCAGUCUAAGCCAUCUUUAAUUCCUUUAUAUAUAUAUAUUUUUUGCAUUGUGUGUGAAGUUCAUCUCCCUGGUCAAAAAAGAUGCUGUUGUUGAGCUAAAGUGGUGCCCAUUGGAACAGGCCUCAGUCACAAGGACACAUGUAGUACAAGAAGUGCAAGCUAUGGAAAAUAUAAAAGAGAAACCUCUUCUUUUUAGCAAACAAUAGACAAAUUUAAUUCCUAGCUGCUUUCUUUACAAGAGAAAAUGAAGGGAGGGGUGGAACCAGCCUUAACUCAGCAUUACCAGAAAAACUUUAAAGGGUCACCCCAGAACCCUCGAGAAUUUUAGUGUGCUGAACUGCAUUAUGUAUGAAGAGUAUGUAGUAUUUUUUAGUUUUACAAAAAGUGCAUAUUUCAUAUUUAGAAAUGGGCACUUUUAAAAAGUAAAGGAACACUAUAGCAUUAAGAAUACAAAUGUGUAUUUGUAACACUGUAGUUCCCUGGUAGCCAUUUAGAUAAUGGGGGGUGGGGGAGCAUGGCACCCAUCACACUUCAUUGAGAUGCCUAUAGUGGCCCUUUAACCUUGUUACACCCCAUGGCUUUUACGCAUACGACAGGUCCUGUUAUUUCCUGGUUGUUUUGCUCAGUGGAACUAAACUCGAGAGACAAGCAAUUGCCUUGUAAAGACUUCUCAUUGAGCUGCAUUGGAAGUCUUUGAUUGGACAGCCACAGAAUAUCUGUGCGAAGAAAGAAGGGAGGGUUUGCAAAGGUAGCAGUCAAAAGAACUGAAACUUUUGCAAGCUGUUUUUAAGACAUAGCCCCAUUUAAAAAAAAAAAAAAGCAUAAUUAAAUGCAUGAUUUUUUUUCAUUUGGGGUAUAUUUACUAAACUGUGAUUUUAUUUAUUUAUUUGGUAUUUUGACAUUGAAACAUCCUUUUUAGGAUCAUAGACAUCCUUUCCACUCUGGGAGAAAUGAUUUGAGAGCUUACAUAUUGUGUAUGAAAUUAUUUUUCACUUGGCAUGUGCAAUCAAGUCACCAUUUUGACAUGCUCUGUGUAACAAAGAUACAAGACCCGUGAUACAGAACCAUAGAUGGAUGUAACCACCAAAAAUGUUGGCCCCUCUCAGCUAAUCAAAAAGAGUGUUAAUUAUAUAUUAAGAGUUAUUUUAUCAGGAAGCAGGACACAGAUCCCAUCUGCCCACCAAGGAUGAGAACCACCCUCCCUGUUCAAAUUAAAUAUGAAAAAAGAGUAGCAAUCUGUCUUUGGAGAGCUGAUAUAGCUGGUCCAUACUAAAAGGGUUACAAUUUCACCCAAAGGAUUGCUGAACUUGAAAAAGUUCAAGCAAUCAUAGAAAAACACAAUGACAACAUGGCAGUGUUAAAGGACCACUAUAGUGCCAGGAAAACAUACUCAUUUUCCUGGCACUAUAGUGCCCUGAGGGUGCCCCCACCCUCUGGGACCCCCUCCCACCGGGCUGGAUGGAGAGGAAGGGGUUAAACUUACCUCUUUCUCCAGGGCCGGGCCGGGAGCUCUCCUCCUCCUCUCCUCCUCUUCGGCUGAAUGCGCAUGCGCGGCAAGAGCUGCGCACGCAUUCAGCCAAUCCAUAGGAAAGCAUUCAUGAUGCUUUCCUAUGGACGCUGGCUUCUUCUCACUGUGAUUUUCACAGUGAGAAGCGCGGAAGCACUCUAGCGGCUGUCAAUGAGACAGCCACUAGAGGCUGGAUUAACCCAUUUAUAAACAUAGCAGUUUCUCUGAAACUGCUAUGUUUAUAAAAAAAAGGGUUAACCUUAGCUGGACCUGGCACCCAGACCACUUCAUUAAGCUGAAGUGGUCUGGGUGCCAAUAGUGGUCCUUUAAGAGAAGACCUAAAGGUCAAACAAGAACAUCUAACAGAGUAGUUACACAGUUAUAUAGAAUGAAAAAAGAUUUGUGUGUAUCUAGUUCAACCUUUCUCACAUCUGUUUUUGCUGUUAUUCCAAGAGAAGGCAAAAACCCAGGUUGAAGAGUUUUCAAAUUCUGCAACAAAUUAGGAAGAAAAUCCUUCUCCACCCUUUAAUGGCAGUCAUAUAUCUCCUGAAUCAAGAAGCUAUUAGCUCACACAUUAAAAAUUAUAUCCCUGAAUAUUAUGUUUUUGCAAGAAUUCAACCAGUUGCUGUUUAAACAUAUGUGCAUACUCUGAUGAAACCACAUCUUUAGGCAGAAAACAUCCUUAUGGUUUUUAUUAUAAAGAACCGUUUCCUUUGUCUUAGACUAAAUCUCGUUUCUUCCAGUCUAAAUGUGUGAACUCAUGUCUUUUGAAUAGAUUACCAGACAAUGGUUUGUAUUGACCCUGAAGACAUUUGAAUAAUGCUAUCAUAUUCCCUCUUAGGUGCCAGUUUUCUAAACUACAAAAAUUUAAAUCUGUCAACCUUUCUUUAUGACUAAAAUCUUCCAUUUGGGUGGGGCGUGGCUAGCCACGGAGCAAGAUGGACGCAUGAAAACUUGCUCCGACACGAAGGCACCUAAUCUCAUGCAAUCCUGACCACCAGAGCUCCAUCUAACACGGCGGCAAAGCAAUGUCCCAUCACAAAAGUAAGAAGAGCUCGCUGAAAUCGGACAAGCUCAAUUUUUUCAGCCAGAAACAAAUUUCUGCGACUCUGGCUGCGCAGGCCUCAAACCCGGACGGGGACACCGAAUCUGAUAGCGGAGCACUCAGCUGUGACCUAACGCUACCUACAGACAACACUCAAAUCACAAAAGCGGAUCGUACAUCUGCCUUGGAAGCCUUUUCUAACAAAUUGAUUUCAUCUUGGCAACACAUGGCGGAUUCCAUGAGGAAAGACAUCCAGGAACUAGGCAGAAGGACGUCCCACAUGGAGGAUAAAUGCGACAAAUUCGCGACGGCCCACAACGACCUAGCCACAAAUGUGGAACAUAUAGCGGCCAGACUUGACACCCUGGAGGGGAAGCUAGCAGAUCUGAAAGAUCGAUCCCGCCGAAAUAACUUACGGCUGAGGGGCGUCCCAGAAGACAUUACCAGCGCGGACUUACCGGCAAAUGUACGAAACCUUCUACACGCUUACGCUCCUGAGAUACCGGCGGAUAUGUUGCUGGUUGACCGGGUUCACCGCAUUCCUAAACUCCGACACCUCCCACAAACGACGCCCAGAGAUGUAAUAUUGCAGGCACAUUAUUUUCAUGUAAAAGAACAUAUCCUCAGAGGCAGCAGGCUGAGAGCCAAACCACCUAUGGAAUAUUCCACGAUCAAAAUCUAUGCAGAUUUGUCGGCCGCAACGCUGAAAAAAACGGAAAGAAUUUCAUCAAAUUACUGCUACUUUAAGAACGAAUGGAAUGAAGUACAAAUGGGGAUUCCCCACUAAAUUAGUAGUUACCAAGGACGGGGCAACUACAGUUAUAACUACCCCAGAAGAAGGAUUGAAACAUCUACAGGCUUGGGACCUAAAAGUAGAACCAAAAUCUCACCCGCACUGCCAGCAGGGAAACUAAAUGCGGAUUGGAACAAAGCACAUGGGAAACACUGAGACCAGCUGGACUCUGGUAAGCAGAGAACGCGAUCCACACAUAAUCCAGCCCAGAAACAAGAUGUAUCGGCUGUCCUCCGGGGCCCUUGCUACAACGGAGGAUUGUCGCUGAUUGUCUAAUUGCUUAAUGUUACCAUGAUCAUUAGGGACUAUACAUGAUGUAUUACCCUUCCCAGAAACACACAUUAAAUCCGCGCAUAUAGACACAUAUAUAUACCCCGGGACACACAUAAAUCUGGACCAACAAGCUAACGUGACCCCAAAGAGGUUGCAGAACAAGGCAAGGUCAGGAGUCAGCUGAAUGCCCAGACUACUAUAAUACUAACAGGCUCAGGCUAACCACCACAGCUAGGCCAGUAACCACUGAGCCACGUAGACUGCGGCGCUUUACAAUAAAACGAGAGGUGCAUUCAGCCACAUUAAUGGAGGGAACAAUUUCCUAUAUUCCCCCAGAUGUGGUAUACCCACAUGACAUCUCUGAGAGACACCUUGUAUAUAGUUUUCUACCCCUUCCAAGUUUCUCCCCUUUAGCCCAACCCUGCCCUAAGUCGGUCAUGACCCCACAGAAGAAACACACAGCAAAGGCUUCUAUGUCGCCACUUCUUAACUCACACAAGAAACCACAUCAUUUAAGUAACCAGGCUUCAAGCAUACUCCACUGCCAAGACCCACUCGCCUAUUAUGGAGUAAAACACUGGUAUUUAUCUAUAGCCCACAUCAGCCAAUCAUACUGCCCUACUAAAAUAUGAAAUUACAAACCUUUAAUGCACACGGACUAAAUACUCCGCACAAAAGGAGACUUAUUGUGGAGGAGGCAAAAAAUAUGCAGUCAGACAUUUUAUGUGUACAGGAGACACACUUUGUUAAUAACAGGGUACCUAGUUUCGCUACUAGAGACUAUCCCACGCAAUACCACUCGACUUAUUCUUCCAAAUCAAGAGGCGUUUCUUUCUUCAUACACGCAACAGUAUCCUUCGAACUUUUACACAUCAAGAAAGACACGCAGGGCAGAUACCUUAUACUACAAUGUAAGCUCAAUAAUGUUCUAUACAAUUUGGUGGGAAUAUAUAGCCCAAAUGAUAAUCAAAGGAAUUUCCUGCAGAAGGUGUUAUCCAAACUCCCUACUGUUUUCCAGACAGCCACGAUUAUAUGUGGGGACUUAAACCAUAUAUUACAGGCCCGACUGGAUACCACAUUAUCAGAAUCGUCCCCCAGAUGCAAAACUCUGGGGAAGCAAGCCGCAAUCAUUAUGAAACUCCUCUCAGAAUAUAAUUUAUAUGAUAUUUGGCGAACACACCACCCAAAUGACCGUGAAUUUACAUUCUACUCCCCAGUACAUAAAACGUAUACCAGAAUAGAUUUCAUAUUCAUCUCGGGAGACUUACUAGUACAUAAAACAUAUACCAGAAUAGAUUUCAUAUUCAUCUCGGGAGACUUACUACCGAAAGCUAUGCACAGUGAGAUAGGGUAUAUAGUAUGGUCUGAUCAUGCCCCAGUACAACUAACCUUAAGGGAUACUUUCCCAUCACGAGGGAUGACACCAUGGCGUCUUAAUGAACAUCUUCUACUCAACUCAGACCUGAAAACCAAACUUACGGAGGAGAUAACCUCUUUCUUUACUUUAAAUGAUACUCCUGACGCAUCAUCGGCCACGCUAUGGCAGGCACAUAAAGCGGUCAUCAGAGGCCUGUUGAUCAGUCAAGCGUCAUACCUAAAUAAACAGUCGAAACAAGAGUACAUUACUCUUUUGAGGUCCCUAAGAGAUGAAACCUGUAACGGACCGUUUUGCACACAAGGGGUAAAAACCGUUUAGGCGAUCGUCCUCUUUCAGAGAUGCAGGCACAGCUACUGUUGAACACCAAACUCCCGAACCGCAAAUAAGGGAAUGCUCCAAACUCCCGAACGGCAUACAAUAUACCAAACACACGAACUGGAACCAUACGAAUAGCUGCUAGCAGACGAAUAGGAAAAGCAUCCAAGCGGCUUACACUCCUAGCAGUCAGUCUCUAUCAGCAUUCAGUAAAUCCCCCCAAAGACGAGACAAGGCUCCGUGUUGAGGGUCAAGCAGUGGUCCAAAAGAUAGAUCGUAGUCCUUUGUGACCAAAGGAAGCAUGGCUUUUCUGCCCAAAACCAGUUCCACAGAGUCUUCUAUCCUGGAGAUAAUUGGGAAGUAAUCCAAUUAUCUCCAAAGACAGAGGCAAAACUCCAUUGAACACAUGGCAGCAAAAGACAAUAAAACAUAUAACUGUGCAGCCAUUGCACAAAACAGGUACAUUCAACAUAUCCCCAUAUAGCUCAGAUCUGAGCCCACAUUAUUACUGAAUGGCGCUCAGAGCACAUACAUACAGUUCAAUUGCCAUGAAGCCAAAGUCUUUCCCAUAGUCUUUCAUUAUACGAAUGGGCUCCAUGGCAUAGCUAUCUGGGGUAUCACCGCUCAAACAGGGCAAGCACCAAAUGACCCGGCUUUCAUGUCUUUGCAGGGGAAAAUCAAGCCUUUUAACAUGGGGCCAUAAUCCAAAGGCAACAGGCGAGCAACCAGGCUUCUCCAAUGCAAUUUGGCGAGAUUGGUCUCGUCACAAAACCCUUACGCAAAAUCAGGCCCCGACCCCCUCCACACAACAACGCAUAGAUCAAUUCAGAGAGAAGUUGAAUGAUAAGCACCUGCGAGCUACGGCCCUGAUGACACAUAAGCUAAAACUGACAACAUAUACACAAGGUAAUAGAGCAGGGAGAACUUUAGCUAAGCUCUUACGAAAAGACAAAAUGCAAAAAUUCCAUAUCUCAUAAACCCCAUGGGAAACAAACUGUACAAUCCACAAGAGGUAAAUGACACGUUGGCGGACUACUAUGACACAUUAUACAACUUACGGAAGGAUAAACACACACACCAACCACUACAAGUAGAAAUAGACUCGUUUAUAACAGAUGCCCAACUGCCGCAACUUACGCAGACAGACCAGUCCUUGUUGGUAGAACCUAUCACUCAAAAAGAAAUUGAAUUCACAAUCAAAACACUCCCAAAGAGGAAAUCUCCUGGUCCAGAUGGGUUUACAAAUAUAUAUUACAAAACCUUCUCGAACUUGCUGACCCCCCAAUUAGAAAAAUUAUAUAACCAUAUAUUGACUACCGGUGUCAUACUUAGAGAAAUGCUAUUAGCUCAUAUAACGACACUACCAAAACCGGGGAAACCACCCAAUAGAUGCCAAAACCUGCGUCCCAUAUCGCUGCUAAACACAUACUUAAAAAUACUGGCCAAAAUUUACGCAAAUAGGCUCGGGAACAUCAUGCCAAAACCCCAGGUGGGGUUUGACCGAGGCAGACAAAGCUCGGACGGGACCAGGAAAUUGAUCAAUAUCCUUCAUACGAUACAGAAAACUGGGGAACCCCAUUUGACAGGCUACACUGAAGCUACCUAAAAACAGCACUUCGGAAGUUUGCAUUCCCUGAAUGCUUUAUUACCCUAGUAUCGGCACUCUACGAUAACCCAACAGCAAAUAUAUCCAACAGAGGCUUCACCUCCAAACCAUUUCAUAUCUCAAACGGGUCUAGGCAGGGAUGUCCGUUAUCUCCCCUACUUUACAUACUAGCAUUAGAACCACUUGCCCAACACAUAAGGAAUUCACAAGACAUCCAUGGGAUAUGCAUAGGAGGGAGAACACAUAAAAUUACUCUCUUCGCUGACGAUGUCAUGCUCACCCUCUCUAGACCCGAAACUUCCCUCCCAAUGCUCCAAAAUAUAUUAACGCAGUUUGGCAACUGCUCAUAUUAUAAACUAAACAUCAGUAAGACACAGGCCAUGGGUAUAAUAUAAAAAAAUAAAUAUGUAAAUACGUUAAAAAAUAAAAUUAAAAAAAUAAUUAAAAAUAAAUAAUUAAAAAAUACAUAGAGCACUGUAUGUGUGUGUGAGGCACUGUAUGUAUGUGUGGGGCAGUGUGUGUAUGGGGGGGUAGCAGUGUGUGUAGGGCACUGUAUGUGCCUGUGGGGCAGUAGUGUGUGUGGGGCAAUGUGUCUAUGGGUUUGCAGUGUGUGUGUGUGGAGAGGAGGGUAGGGAGGCUUUUAAAUAAUGUUUAUUUUUAUUUAAUAAUAUAAAUAUUAAUUAUGUCCCCCCCUCCCUUCUUACCUUAAUUGAGGAGGAGGGGGGCAUUUCUGGAUCCCUGGUGGUCCAGUGGGGAUUCUCUGGUGGUCCCAGUGGUAGGAGAGAACUCUAGGCCGCCUCUACUAGGCCAUACGCCAUCAGAGUAUUGCUCCGAAAAUCCCAUCUGACCCUGUCGAAGGCUUUCUCAGCAUCCAAUGACAGGGUCAGAAGAGAGACAUUCAUCCUUUGUGCUGCAUCAUGGACAUCCAAAACCCGUCUAAGGCGCAGUGCUGUAGUGGUUAUUGUGCCUGGAUUAUUUCUUUAAAUAAUCUACAGUUGCCCCCUCCCCCUGGAUCCGCCACUGCUAAGGCCACCUGCUGCUACUCUUCCUGGAAUAAAUCCAACCUGAUCCUGUUGUAUCAAGUCUGAAAUACAGGUUUUUAGGCGAUACGCUUUAAUCAUAGCAUUAAUCUUAACAUCUGCAUUUAGAAGAGAUAUGGGCCGGUAAUUCGCUAAUAUCUUUGGAUCUUUAUCUGGUUGUAUUACUACUUUAAAUAUGUUUGCAAAAUUAUAAACAUACAUCCCUUUUCUCUCUUUCUUCAUAGUAGUAGCUCCUCUGCUGUACAGGAUAAAGACACACUUUAUAGCCUAUCUUCCUAUGGAUCCACAUUGUAGCAUAGGGUCAUAAACCCGUGUGUAAGUGUUAUGUCUGUCAUGUAUUUGACGGGAGGAGUCCAAGAGGCAGGAAUCAGCCAAGGCUAAGAACCAAAGAAAAAAACAAAUUUGUAGUUGAAGAAAGCCAGGGGUCAGGUCAGGCAGCACGCUUCAAAGACCAUGGAACAGGCAGAGGGUCAGAUACCAAUAUGGGUUUUUGCCACUGGGUUUUUUACCUGGCCCCAGAUCACCCGGUGGACUGGUAAUCCUAUACCCUAGUUCACUGACAAGGGAUAGGUAUUAUUCCCACUAUGACUAUAUGCGUUCACUUUGUGAACGAAGGAGGGAAACAAUGCUUAGUGAAUAUACCCCUAGACAGAGCUAUACAGUUUCUUGUUUCAGAGCGUUGGUCUUAUUUCCUGUUUUCUAUUUCUGUAAUUCUAACUGCGUAGUAACAUAUCUAUUUUAUGAGUGCGUAGUAACUUUUUUAUUUCACUUGCGUAGUUAAACUGAAACAAUAAUGAGUACUCUCCCAUUACACCGACCAUCAGAAAAUUAAUGUUUGUUCUGGUUCAUUUUUAGAUAUUAUCUGAUUAUCCUUUAGUGGAUUAUUAUAAUGUGCUGUAUUGGCACUGGAGUACAACGUGUUUGGAUUUUUGAUUUGUAGAAAUCAUGUUAAUAGCCGAGUAAAUAACUAGUUCAACUGACUCAAAACAUGAAGGCUUCUUUUAACUUGGAGAACACAUCCACAUACAAUUAGACACAUAACAGGGGACCUAUGAAGUACAAGUCUACAUUAACAAAAUCUAUAGUUGUACUUUGAUUGAUAAAAGAUGUAUUCACAAAAAUGUAAAGACUGGCAGAUUCUAUAGGUUAAAACUGCUUAACCAACAAAUGAACGUCUAGUAGCUAAUUACUGUGUGUCUAUAUGAUUAAAUACAUUAGUAGACCAUGCAAUAAUAGUACCUUCAAUAGUGAUGACAGCAAAUAUUAAAAUAUAAAUGACAAAAUAGAAUGAGUUCAAAGUAUAUAAUGUAUACAAUUAUAUAAUGUAUAAGAGUGAAAAAGAAGUAACCAACAAGAUAAAGGCAAAUGAGGGAGGUGGAGGGGGGGAGGGGUGGGCUGUCGUAGAGAAAUGGAGGGGAACAGGUGGAACAAGGGAAGUGUAAGAGAAAAAUUAGGGGAGAUCCUAUUAGUAAGGCUGAUCAUGAUAAAGAAUGAAAAUACCAAGAGUAACUAGAAAAAAAAAUCAUUCAAGGCAUAGAUCAGUGGAACAUAGUAGACUAUGUGAGGUGAUGAAAGGAAAUAACAUGAGUAUUACUAAAGGAAAAUUGAGGGCAGAGUUGCCAAGGCAUCUACUUAAAUCAGGGUUUACAAUUAGUGGGUUCCUCUCAAACAAUUACAGCUUUAUUUAAACUACCUAUAAUAACUGGAGUAGUCUACCUUAUGACCACCCUAAACUUAAUCUAGUAUAUGUAUAGAGUAAUCUGUCAAAUAAAACUUAAUCUGUAUAGAAGAACUGAAAACUGGAAGUGGAGAAUGAACUGGGAAAAGGAAGCGAGGGAUGUACUCACGGUUGACAAAUGCAUAUUUAUUCUAAAACUGCAACAAAAAUCUAAAUAGAAUAAAAUACCUAAUGAAAAUGAAAAAAAAAAAAACAUCUCUUUUAAUGAAAUCAUAUGAGUGUAAAAAUACUGAUGAAUGAAAUGCUGGUUGCAAGCAUAUAAUAUGAUAUUAAACCAAGCUUUUUGUGUUACAUAUAUAUAUAUAUAUAUAUGCUCUCCUUUUACAUCAUAAACAGUAUUAAUAUUCUGUCUGUGAUUCUGACAUGCUUAUAGAUCUCGCUGCCUUUACACAAGGCAUUUGCUGUCUACAUGUUCCCUAAUGACUGCUUUUUACAUUUGUUACAUGUCUAUAUGAAAUAUAAAAAAAAAAAACAGGAAAACGCCCUUCAAUCAUUCACUUGUGAGAAAAACAGCAGUAUCCUAUUGUGAUGUGUGUUGUAACAUGCUGCUAAAAAAAGAGAUAAAAGAGGCAAUUCAAGGGUUGAAUCUAUAAUAUUUAAUUGUGCGAGACCGCCACAGCACACAUGUAAUUCCCAAAAUGUAACAUGAAAACUAAAAAAAAAUUUAAAAAAGUAUUCGAUUAUAGAAAAAAACCAAACACUUAGCAAAAGGAGUAAACAUAGGACGAGUUUAUGUAUAGAUCGUGAUCUAAGGAUACCUAAAAGAUCAAAAUGAUACCAAUGUAAAUAUACAUAUAUAUUUAAUUUCAACAUUUUACAAAUGUUGUAUCCCUUGAAUAAUUCACAAUGAACUAUAUAACUAUAUAUUUCUUAUGUAUAAGAAAUAUAAGCAAAUAAGCAAAAAUAUCAUAAUUUGCCUCAUUUGGUAGAUAGAUAAAAACAGUCAAAAACACAUUCAAAAAUAUGGUUAUUGGUCCCAUCCUGCUCGGACAGCUGUCUGAUUAUCUCUGCUCCGAAGGCCUCUUUAUGCUUGUUUCUACACUGACCACUCACCCCAGCUGUGUAAUACAAGUGUCUAUCAAUAUGGUAACAUCACAACCUGUUGACAGGCCCGCAGCGCACUUAAUAACCCUCCUCACAAAAAUAACUUACUAUUUUGUCUCUCUUACUCUUCUUCUCCAUUAAGUUCUUAUUUCCCAAGAAUGUACAGAUGAGAAGUCCGCCUGAGAGACAUAGGGCACGGCUGUCCAAAAAGGGCAUUAAAAGUUGCAACAGUCUUGUCAACAUUGGCCCAAAAUAAAAAAUGAGUUUCUAUUGAUCUUGACCUGUUUUAUAUUGUUAAACUUAAAAAGUAUGUGACAGUUUGCAUUGCACAAUCUUGGUGGAAGAUGGGUUUAUUCAUUCUGCAAAGAGGACAUUUUUAAAUACUAGAUUGUCCAAUGAAUACUUGGAUUCUAUGUCAUAUUAUCUGUUGAAUGAAAAUAAAGCAUUUUUAAAAAUAGUGAAACUGUAGAUAUUUCAAAAAAAAUUACACCAGAAUGUUUUUUGUAUGUGGGAAUAAGCCCACAAACAGUAAGUACUGUUACACCUAUCACCUGUACUACAUAUUUCUAGUGUACUCAAAGUCCUUUCUUUUUCUUUCCACUCUCUAUCUACUAGAAUAAGCCAUUAUGUUUGACCUAUAAAUUUAGUGUAGGAAGAAAGGAAAGCGCUGGCAGUUUAAAUCUAAUAACAAAGGUCAGGGGCGGACUGAGAGCCUUUGGGGCCCCCGGGCAAAAUUAGAUCCCAGGCCCUUUGAAGGCCAAAUAUAUGUGCAUUUUAAUAAAUGUUAAAUAUAAUUCAUAAUACGGCAUUCCUUUGGAUGUGUGUAUUGUGAAGACCUGUGUAUCAAUGCAUGUUUGUAUUUGAGUCUGUGUGAAUGCACUUGUGCAUGUCUGGAUGACUACAUGUGCUUUUUUGUAUAUAGUGUCUGUGUGAAUGCAUAUGUGACAGGUGACAGAGUGUGUGAGGGAGAAGGUGACAGGUGGAAGAGUGUGGGAGGUUGUGACAGGUGGCAGAGUGAGGGGGUACCUGGUGGCAGAGUGAGGGAGGGGUUGAGUGGUGGCAGAGUGAGGGGGAGACACAGUGAGUGGGGGUGACUGGUGACAGAGUGAGGGAGUGGGUGACUAGUGACAGAGGGAAGGAGAGGGGGAGACUAGUGACAGAGGGAGGGAAUGGGAGACUAGUGACAGAGUGAGGGAAUGGGUGACUAGUGACAGAGUGAGGGAAUGGGUGACUAGUGGCAGAGUGAGGGAGGGAAGGGGUGACUAGUGACAGAGUGAGGGGAUGACUGGUGACAGAGUGAGGGGGGGUGACUGUCACUAGUCACCCCAUCCCUCUCUCUGUCACUAGUUACUCCCUCCCUAACUCUGUCACUGUGUCACCCGCUCCCUCACUCUGUCACUAGUCACCCCCUUACUCUGUCACUGUGUUACCCCUCCCUCUGUCACUAGUCACCCCCUCCCUCACUCUGUCACUAAUCACCCCCUCUCUCCCUAGUCACCCCCUUCCUCACUCUGUUACUAGUCACCCCAUCCUUCUCUCUGUCACUAGUCACCCCAUCCCUCUCUCUGUCACUAGUCACCCCAUCCCUCUCUCUGUCACUAGUCACUCCCUCCCUAACUCUGUCAUUGUGAAGGAAGGAAGGAAGGGGUGACUGGUGACAGAGUGAGGGAAGGGAUGACUAGUGGCAGAGUGAGGGAAGGAAGGGAUGACUGGUGACAGAGUGAGAGAGGGUGUGACUAGUGACAGAGUGAGAGAGGGUGUGACUAGUGACAGAGUGAGAGAGGGGGUGACUGUCACUAGUCACCCCAUCCCUCUCUCUGUCACUAGUCACUCCCUCCCUAACUCUGUCACUGUGUCACCCCGUUCCUCACUCUGUCACUAGUCACCCCCUCUCUCACUAUGUCACUAGUCACCCCCUCUCUCACUAUGUCACUAGUCACCCCCUCCCUCACUAUGUCACCCCCUUCCUCACUCUCACUAGUCACCCCCUCUCUCACUCUGUCACUAAGGACAGAGGGGGUGAUUAGUGACAGAGUGAGGGAGGGGUGACUAGUGACAGAGUGAGGGAGCAGGUGACACAGUUAGGAGGGAGUGACUAGUGACAGAGGGAUGGGGUGACUAGUGACAGUCACCCCUUCCCUCACGCUGUCACUAGUCACCCCCUCUCUCACUCUGUCACUAAGGACAGAGGGGGUGAUUAGUGACAGAGUGAGGGAGGGGGUGACUAGUGACAGAGUGAGGGAGCAGGUGACACAGUGACAGAGUUAGGAGGGAGUGACUAGUGACAGAGGGAUGGGGUGACUAGUGACAGUCACCCCUUCCCUCACUCUGUCACUAGUCACUCACUCUGUCACCUGUCACUCCCUCACUCUGUCACUAGUGUGAGGGGGUUACUAGUGGCAGAGUGAGGGAAGGAAGGGGUGACUAGUGACAGAGUGAGGGAGGUGGUGACUGUUACUAGUCACCACCUCCCUCUGUCACUACUCCCUCCCUCCUUCUGUCACUACUCCCUCCCUUCUUCUGUCACUAGUCACCCCCUCCCUCACUCUGUCACCAGUCAUCCCCUCCCUCACUUUGUCACCAGUCAUCCCCUUCCCUCACUCUGUCACCCCCUCACUCUAGUGACAGAGUGAGGGAGGGGGUGACUAGUGACAGAGUGAGAGAGAGGGUGACUAGUGACAGAGUGAGGAAGGGGGUGACACAGUGACAGAGUGAGGGAGGGGGUGACUAGUGACAGAGUGAAGGAGGUGGUGACCGUCACUAGUCACCCCCUCCCUCUCUCUGUCAUAGUGACACCCUCCCUCACUCUGUCACUAGUCACCCCCUCCUCACUGUCGCAGCCACCCCUCCUCUCUGUCACUAGUGACACCCUCCCUCCCACUCUGUCACUAAGUCACCCCCACUCCCUCACAAUACUUGAAUCCCCCCUCCCUCUCUCAUCACUAGUCACCCCUCCCUCUCUCUGUCACUAGUCACCUCCCUCCCACUCUUCACUAGAAGUGAGGUGACUAAUGACUUAGUGAAAAUGACAGAAAACCCAUUUGAAAGAAACUGACAAUGACAGUGAAAACUGCUAGCAACAGUGAAAAGUGACAAGUAACAGUAGUGACUAAUGACAGUGAAAACUAUAUGAAAAGUGACUAAUGACAGUGAGGAAGUAACUAGUAACAGUAGAGUGACAAGAAAUGACAAUGGUGACUAGUGACAGUAAGAAGUGACUAGUGACAGUGAGAGUGACUAGUAUUGACAGUGAGGAAGUGACUAGUGACAGUGAGGACUGAAGUGACAGUAGAGGUGACUAGUGACAGUAGAAGUGACUAGUAACGUGAGGUGACAGAGUGGGGAGUGACUAGUGACAGUGGGGGUGACUAGUGACAGUAGAAGUGACUAGUGACAGUGAGGGUGACUAGUGACAGUGGGGGGUGACUAGUGACAGUGAGGGUGACUGGUGAGUGAGGGGGGUGACUAGUGACAGUGAGGGGGGUGACUGGUGACAGUGAGGGGGUGACUGUGAGGAGUGAUGAGUGAGGGGGGAGGGGGUGAUUGGUGCCUACCUGCAUCUCUGCUCCCUCUUCUCUCCCUGCCUGCUGCUCCUUCUCGGCUCUGUGUGAGAGGAGUAAACAGGAUGUCACUUCCUGGCCUCUCCCAUCACACAGAGCUGCAUGGGAGAGGAAGCAGGAGACCUGGUAGAGAGUGGCUGAAGCUGCCAGGUCUCAUGGGGGGUGGGGGGGGGUGACUAGCAAAACGGUAGGUUGUGGGGCCCCGCGCUGCAUCAGGGGCCCCACAACCUAUCAAUUAAAAAGUUUUAUUUUAUUAUUUUGCCGUUCCAGCUGGAGAGAUCUCUGAUCUCUCCAGCUGGAGCAUGGCUGUGCAGUCGGGCCCCUGACUGCCUCGGGCCCUCGGUCCAUGACCGAAGUGCCCGAGUGGUCAGUCCGCCCCUGACAAAGGUGCAGCUAGACAGAAAAUCAGGCUAUGGGUUUAAGACCCAGAAGUAUCAUAUACAGCACUGCUGGAUGAAGUUAACAAAAUCCAGUUUAAACUAGCAAGCCUAAACAGAGCUAUGUUAAUUUGUAACUUUUAAAAAAAAAAUUGGCAGGUAAAGAACUCGUGCUGUAAAAUUUUAGUUUUGCAUGUGCUGAUUGGUGGGCACAGUGUGAGACACAAAAAGUGUGAAAGAUUUGCAUUAAACAUUGAACAUGAAUAUGGUAAGAAUAGUACAUCAUAUGGUGGUGAUACUGUAGAAUAUUGCAUAUUCUAUGUUUCUAUUGAUUAUAUAUGGAUGUGUGGAUUGACAUAAGUAACAGAUGGUAUAACUCACAAGGCUUUCUUUGUAUGAGAGCUCUGGGGAUUUUGUCCUUAUAUGGCUAGAGUUAUAGUCUGACGUCAUUAUGGCCCUUCUAUAUAGUAACUGAACAAAGAGACAUAAGGUCUCUUGGCUCUUGGCUCUCUCUGGCUCUCUCUCGAUGUAAAGAUGUAAGGAUGUAACUCUCCCUUCAGGAGUCCAGUCCUUUGUUGUUUUAUUAUGAAACCGUAAGUCAGAUUGCGUAUUAGUACUUUUCAUUAAUAUAGACAUAUAUUAAUGUUGCGAGCAAAUUUGGCCCAAGACUAUAUAUACAAAAGACGUAUAUAUAUCAAUCAACUGAAGACAAGAAGAAAUUAAGAAGAUUCAACAGUGACGAUCGAUCCCAACCAGAUUUUCCAGAUACAAUAAUAUAACGAAAGUCUGUGGUUUAACAGUAAUUUCUGGUCUGCUCAGUUAGUACAUGGUAUACUAGACAGUUUAGGGCACAUCAUAAAUACAGUACGUUACACAUGUGGAGUCAACAGGUUUCUUUAUAACUAGGAUUUUAAGUGUGCAUUACCUAAUAACAUUUCUGUGAAGCUCCUAAAAAUCCUUAGUCUAAAACUAUAUUUCAGCGUUCAGGAGGGCGUGUUAUUAGUCCUAGUUUGUUAAAGGGGAGUAUAUAUGAUGUUGGGUUUUUACUGAGUGCUCGCUAGAUAUGUUGGUAACCCAAAUUGUUUGACCAAACACAAGGAUCGAGUGUGGAGUGGCUGUCUUAUAUAUUUAUUUCUGUUACCCAGCCGCAGUCCACAUUGUAUCUUUAUUGUAUAUGGGUGUAAUAAAGUUACUAUUUUUGGAUACAUGGGACAUUAAUCCUCCUAUACAUAUGAAUUGUCUCUAAGAAAGUUAUUUUUCUGUUUUUUUCAUGUACAUAUACCAGUACUUAAUCUCCCCCUUAUGGGGUCAUUCCCUCUCUACUUAUAAAAUUGUAGUUCUAGGGUCCAAGCCCUCAGGUGGGGUGGUACCACCACAUUGACCUUUUUGUCUCUGGUCCAACAGGUUUGGAUAUAGCAACAAAAACUCCUUUUUACUUUUUAAAAGAUGACUUAACUAGUUACAAUAGCAUGGCAAUGCAUAAAAAUGAACCUGCCAUCCAGACAUUGCAAAGAUGACAAGUUUACCAAAGUACAUUUACCUCUAGUCCAUAGGAGUGCACAAGUAAGAUACUUGUUGUGCCCAGACACACCAUAAAAUGCAUGGCUAUCACAGUCUUACUUUGGCUGGAGUCCGAAGUGCAGAGAUGUUUGCUUACCCUUGCAGAUAAACACAACCCAUGGUAACCAGGUAAGAAGCUACCUGGGCUGUGAAUUUGUGCAUCAAACAAGAUCCCUGAAGGAAAAAAAUAAAUAAAAGAAACUCGGGCGCUUGGUGCUGUUUAUCAGAUGUACCGGGUAUGUGAGUAUGUGUGUUGGGUACUUCCAUGAGUAUCUUGCUAGCUGGGGAGGCUGCUUUCGCCCUUCAUAAAUAAUGGGGACAUCUAGUGGUUAGUAGCGAGACUCAGAAAUUGUGGGGCCCCUAACACAGCUCAAGGUCUGGGCCCCCAUGUGCCCGCCUCCAAGCCCCGCCUCCAAAUCCCGCCAACAGGAAUACACACACACAGACACAAAAGGACACAGACGCACACACAGAAAGAUACACACAUACUAACAGACACAAAUACUGAAACAGACAUACAUAUAGAUACAUAUAUAUACAUACACAGAUACACACACACACACACUGACAUAAAGACACACACACAUACAUACUGACAAACAGAUAUACAUACAACUUAAAUACAUACUGACAUACAUACAUAAUGGCAUACAUACACAUACAUACUGAUAUUCAUACAUACAUACACACACACACACACAGAGAUAUAUACAUACACAGAUACACACAGACAUACUGACAUAUACACACACAGACAUACAUGCAUACUGACAUACAUACUGAUAGAUUGAGAUACACACACACAGACAUACAUGCAUACUGACAUACAUACAUAAUUGCAGACACACAGACAGACAGACAUACAUACAGACAUACACAAACACAUACAGAUAGACACAUACACACAGACAUACAUACUGACAUACACACGGACAUACAUACUGACAUACACACAGACAUACACACAGACAUACAUACUGACAUACACACAGACAGACUUGCAGACACACACACACACCUCAUUUAUCAGCCACCCUCCUCUCACUUUUAAGUUGCAGGAGGGUGGCUGAGGAUGAUGUGAGUGGAUGCCUCUGGUGUCCCUGUCCUCUCCUCCGCUCUCCCCCCGCGCGGAAUAAGCUGGGAGGAAGUGACUGGCCGUCACUUCCUCCCAGCAGCACUUGCGGUGUUUAGCCGCAAUUUAAAAAAUUUUUUUUAAAGGGGCCCGGUCGCGUAAUUACCCGGUGCAGCGCUGACCGGGCCCCUGAAGAUAUAGGGCCCAUCGGGUGGCCCUAAAUGCUUGGGCCACCUGAUGGGCUCCGGUGCAGAUGCACCUGCGGCAGUCUCGCCGCUCCAGGUGGGGUCUGGGCGAGACUAGUGCUACGAAUUACAUUACUAGUGUUUUUAGUGAGUAGGUCUGGAGGUAGCUUGCUAUGGAAAAAUUUUACACCUCACUUCGAGAUAGAGUGGGUCUAGGUCUAACGGCCAUUGAGUGGAGGAGGCAGGGGGAGAGAGGAAUCGUCCUUAUGGGGAGCUUGGUGCUAAAUAAACAGGUACCAACAAAACAGAAAGUAAUGAACAAAAGGAAACAAACAAAAAAAUAUAGUCACAGAAACGGUGAUGUUUUCUGCCUGUCAAGGCUCGGAACCCCUUUGGUAACAGGUACGUGUGAGAGAAGUUCGCCUCAGGUAGUAACCAAAGAAGCUCCGUGUGGGGCUCGUUGCGGGACAAAUGGAGUGCUUCUUGCAGGGUCCCAUGUGUGUGCCUGUUCGGUUGCCCCUCGAGGCCCAUUACUCUGCAGAGCAUCCUGUGGGAGGCCUAUGGUGUCCAGGAGCGCCAAUGCCUCCUGUAUGUCAUGGACCGGGUAGAAGGAUUCUCUGUGUUGCACUUGGAGCAUGCGGGAUAUCCGCCACCUGUAUUGGAUUUUGUUGUUCCAUAGGAGAGUGGUAAACCCCUGCAGGGAUGUAAAAGGUUAAGGAAAUGUCUUCAAAUACAUAUGGGGACUGUCCUUCAAGUGCUUCUUGUACUGUCGCCUUGUCACUGCUUCUUUGGAAUUUCACCACUGUAUCUCUGGGCGCCUCUUCUGGGGCCCUACUGGGUUUCGGGAUCCGGAAUACCCCAUCCACCGCAAUUUGCCUGACUUGCUUUGUAGACAGCAAUGCUCCCAGCAGCCUUCUUAUGAGGUGCGGUAACUCUGCUGUUGGUACCUCCUCUGGGAUACCUCUUAUUUUAAGUUUAGUGCGGCGCCUUGUGUCUUCCACGGUCGCCAGUUUCUGUUCAAACCCAGCCUGUUUCUUUUUCAUCGCUUGUACCUCUUGUUCCUUUCUUUUUCCUUUCUAAUUUUAUUUUCUUCUCAUCUAUCCAUCAACACCCUGUAACGUGCACUAGACAAAUGCAAGGCAGAACUGUGUAAAGCACAACAGCACACCACCCAGCAAUAAGAGAAAUCAAAACCUCACUACAGCAGAGUAUAGCAAGGGACGCCUACCUAACGAAGACACCCAAAAGCUUCAGCCCAGGUCUCGGCUCUGAGCCCACAAAGGAGCUUGGACUGGAUACCCACACAUUAAGAAUGCUUUAGGGUGGUGGUCAGCACGGGCAUGAGCGGGUACGAGCGUAGCUCUGAAUUUUUUGUUUCUCUUUAUAAUGUUUCUACCUAUUGACAAGUAAUGGAGGUGUGGAAUGAUAUUUAGAUAUAGGGACUUAUUGCACGGCUGAUGCAAAAAUUUUACCCCCAGAAUCUAAUAUCCAAACAUCAAAUAAAAGGCCUAUAAAAUUGGUAUUAACCAUAAAUCAUAAACAACCAGUUAAAACAAAUCAUAAACAACUAAGAGUCAUAGCAUAGACUUAUAAAAGUCAUAACACUAAUAUAGCUAAUCAUAAAAGGGGAACAUUUUCCUGACAAUAGCUAAAACCAGAGAAUCUCGAGUAAUACACAAAAGUAAAAAAUAAAAUAAAAAGGUCCCUAAAAAAGAGAAAUCACAAGAGAAAACACAUGAGACAGAAAAGGUUGAUAAAACAUAUAAAACAGAAAAAAAAUCAAAACUAGCACAACCAGUACUUUUUUCUCACCUAAACCUAACACAGCAUUACAAAAAGAACAAAAUAGAAGAUAAAUAUCUCCUAAUUCACUGGAGACUUCUACAUCUUCUAUACAGACAGAAAAAACUCUAUCUAUUAAAAAUAAAAUAAUGUCUCAGGAAAAUUUACUUGAAGCAUUAGAGGAAUUUAGGCCCGCCAUCAGAAAUUUUGGGGCCCCUAACACAGCUCAAGGUCUGGGCUCCCUGGGUGCCCGCCUCCAAGCCCUGCCUCCAAAUCCCACCAACAGGAAUACACACACACAGACACAAAAGGACACAGACACACACACAAAAAAAAUACACAAAUACUGAAACAGACAUACACACAUACAGGCAUACUGACACACACAUACUGAAACAGACACACACACACAUACAGACACAUACAGACACACACACACGCAUAAGGAGAUACGCAUACACACUGAUGUACAUACAUACUCGCAUACUGACAUACACACAUACAUACUGACAAACAGACAUACAUAUAAACUGACAUACAGACAUACAAACAGACAUACAUACAUACAUAAUGGCAUACAUACACAUACAUACUGAUAUACAUACAGACACACAUACAUACUGAUAUACACACACAUGCAGAUAGAUAUAUACAUACACACAUACAUACAGACAUACAUACAUACUGAUAGAUAUAUGCAUACAUACAGGCACACACACACACACACACACAGACAUACAUACAUAUACAUACAUACAUACUGACAGACAUACAUACAUAGAUAGACAGAUAGAUAGAUACACACAUAUAUAUACACACAUCCAUACUGACAAACACAUACAUACAUGCAGACACAUACAUACAUUCUGAUAUACAUACACAUAUACAGACAUACACCUCAUUUUUCAGCCAUUCUCCUAUUCCUUACCUUUAAGUUGCAGGAGGGUGGCUGGGGAUGAUGGGAGCGGAUGCCUCUGCUCUCCUUUCCUCUGCUCGGCUGUCUCUCCCCCCGCAAGGAGUAAGCUGGGAGGUAGUGACCGGCCGUCACUUCCUCCCAGCAGCAUUUGCGGUGCAGCCGCAUUUUUUUUCUUUAAAGGGGCCCGGUCGCGCUAUUACAGCGCUGACCGGGCCCCUGAAGAUAUAGGGCUCAUCGGGUGGCCCUAAAUGCUUGGGCCAUCGGAUGGGCCCCGGUGCAGAUGCACCUGCGGCAGUUUCGCCGCUCCACGUGGGGCCACGUGAGACCUCCUGGGGCCCAGAAUUAUAUGGAAAAAUUCACAAUGACUUUAAGUCUCAUAUAUCAGAUUUAAAAUCAGAGGUACUGGACUUAAAAAAGAAAAUAAUAGCGCAAAAUGGCGCUUUAAAAGACACACGAGAAGAAAUCAAAUUACUCCAAACUCAGAAUUCUAUUCUAAAGAAUCAGGUAAAGCAAUUAGAAAUCCGAACUAUUGAUAUUAAAGACAGAUCAAGGAGAAACAAUUUAAGGAUUAAAGGAAUACCAAAUAGAAAUUAAAUUAGAGAAAUUAGAGCAGUAAUUAAAGGAAUAUAUGGCUCAAUUUUUAGACCCACAGGAAAUUGGAUCAGCACCAUUUGAGAGAUAUCAUAGAAUUCGAAAGCCAGAUAAUAUACAAAAAAACAGAGAUGUGAACGUGCGAUUCUUGAACUGUGCAUUAAAAGAUGCCUUGAUUAGGAAAAUACACUAUAAUAAGCCUCAGGACCCAAAAUUCUCUAUGAUCUCCACCUUCCCAGAUCUUUCAUUAGCAACAAGAAACAGUCGAAAACGAUUCAGAGAUAUGACUAUUAUACUAAGGGACAAAAAUAUCCCAUACAUAUGGGGUUUUCCCACUAAACGUUUGAUUUUUCAAGGCGAUAGGACUAUCAUAAUAAAAGAUCCAUCCGAAGACCUAAUGAAAAUGGGGAUUUCACUUUAAGCCACGAUUGUUAUGAGUAAAAAUGGAAAAGGGGAAGAUCAAGGAAAGUGUAACAAUAAGGAAGUAAAGAAAAUGACAAAGGAUUAGUUAGAGACAGGAGGAAUGAGUAAACAAGAAGAACAGGGGAACACAUACAACUUAAUGGAAAGGGAAAAUUGAAGAAAGGGAACAUAAUAGGAAUUUGUAGAAGGGAUAAAACAAGGAAUAAAAACGGGGAUUAAGAAUAUGCACAACUAAUUUCACAGUAUACAUUUUUAUAUAUAUUUUUAAAAUUUUUCUCUCGUAAUUAUACACUAGAAGUAGCAUAUUUCUUUGAGCACAAACAUAACAUUUACUUAAAGGACCUGUGAAACUAUAAGCACCAAGGGAUCAACAUUUGGGGAUUUAGUAAUAGAAGAAGCACUAACAAAGUAAUAUUAACAAAAAAAGGCGAUAAUUAAUAUAAGAAACUAAUUAUACUACAAAGAUAUAAGGAAUAAGUGACACUUAGGGGAAUUUAGAAGGUUUUAGUACACAAGGGCAAGCUCAUUCUCUCUCAUGUCAAAACUAAAAUAACCAACUAGAACAAUGUUACACUUAAAUAUAUAAGCAUAAUAGUGAUAUAUCCCCUAUUUCUAGUUGAAAAUCUAAUUUAAUUUCCAAUUUUUUUUUUUGAGUGAAAAUAUCAUUCUAAUAUAAAUCCUCUUUUAAUAAUAACAAUUAAGGGAAAAUAAAUAAAAUAGAGAGAAAAGGAAUUGUUCUGAGAAAAUGGGAGAACAAAGUUUGGGUUGAAAAAUGUUAAAUUUUAAAGAAAAAUGGGGAGUAUCACUCAUGGAGGGAUUUGAAUUUAUAUAAUUAAGAACGAGAGGGAAAGAUUAUAUGGAUCAAAUCCCUAAGAAGGUUAUAGGCCUUUAUAGAUAAUUGGGGAAAUUAAGCUACCAAUAUAGGAAUAAGGACUAAUUUAAGUACUUAGUAAAUAUUGGUAGUAAUAGGUAAUUUAUUAACAUCAAAAUACAUUUAAAAUAUUUUAGCUGCCAUAAGCUCAACACACCUUUUAGAUUAAUUGCCCAAGAUCGUGCCAGCAACUGUAACCUAGCACUAGAUUUAGAAUAUAUUUCUUUAUUGCUAGAGAAUAGCCUAGAAUUUACUAGGAUUGAAGUAUGAAUGGUAAGAAAGGCAGUGGUAUGUAUGAAUGUGUGCUGACAGGACACCGUUGGAGGAGGAUGGGGUGGGUAGGGUGCCAGAGGCCGCCAUAGCAAUAAUAGAAUCUUAUUAGCAGAUAUAAACCUUGACUAUUAAGGUGCUAUCAAUAAAUUCCCAAGGUCAAAAUUUAUUUCAGAAAAGGUGAUAUCUAUAUGAUACAAUUACAAAAGAGAAAGUAGAUAUAUGUUUUGUCCAGGAGACUCAUUGGAGGGAAGGAGACACACAAAAAUGGAAAUGCAAUAAAUAUUCCAUUAUCUUUACCUCCAGCUUUAAUAAUAAAAAAAAAAAAGAUAUUAAUUUCUGAUAGAAUAAAAUUUAAACUGAUAUUCGAACAAAAAGAUACAGAAAGCAGGUAUCUUAUUAUUGUUUGCAAAAUUAAUGAAAAUAUAACCACUUUGACACAUAUCCUCAGCAUUUUUUCAAGAAAAUUUUAGUAAUUGUAAAUAAAAUUGAGAAAGGGAAACUAUUAAUAGCAGGGGAUAUGAAUGUAGUGGCAGAUGUAAAAUGGGAUAAAUCAAACCAGAAGCCCUCUACUGUAUACCUGCGAGAAGGGAAAAUAAAUUUUAGUUGAACAUAAUUUAUUUGAUAUAUGGAGAGUUCAACAUCCCCAAGAAAGAGAUUUCUCCUUUUUUUUGAAAGUCCAUAAAGCUUAUUCGAGAAUAGAUUACUUUGAAUCACUGAUUCAAAUAAUUUACGAUAUUUAAAAAAAAAUCUAAACUAGAUCUGAUCACUUGGUCAGAUCAGGGGCGUACCUGGAGCAUUUGGCACCCGGGACGGAUCCUUUAUUUGGCACCCCCCCUCCCAACUUAAAAUGUAAAAAACAACCACAAUUUAAAAAAAAUUUUUUUUUUAUUUAGCACUGAGCAGUGUUUGUAUAUUUUUAAUGUAAGCAUGUUAUUGUAUGGAGUAUGUGUGAGUGAAUGUAUGGGUGUGUUUGCACGUAUUGGCAUUUGAAUGCAGGCGUGCAUUUUUCUGUAGUGUGCUUUUGUUGACAUUUGGAUGCAGGGUUGUAUUUGUGUGUAGUUUAGGCAAAAUGCUGAGAUGUAUGCACAUACACACAUAUACUCACAUAUACACAUACACAUAGGUACACACAUGCAGUUACAUAGAAACACAGUUAUACACAGACGCAGACAAAUACUGACACACAUACAGAUACAAACACAGACACACAGAGCGACACAGAGAGACACACAGGCACAUACAUACAAAUAAACAAACACAACAAAACAAACAAACACACAAACAGAUACACAUACAGAUACACAUGUAUAAGUGUGUGAUUGCAUAGAGAAUGUAGUGUGUUUGUGUAGUGAAUGCAGCUUGUGUGUAUAAAGUAUGCAGUGUGUGUAUAGUGAAUGCAGUGUGUGUACAAUGUAUGCAGUGUGUGUAUAGUGUAUGCAGUUUGUGUAUAGUGUAUGCAGUGUGUGUGCAGUGUAUGCAGUGUGUGUAUAGUGAAUGUGUAUAGUGUAUGCAUUGUAUAGUGUAUGCAGUGUGUGUAUAGUGAAUGCAGUGUAUGUACAAUGUAUGCAGUGUGUAUAUAGUGUAUGCAGUGUAUGUACAAUGUAUGCAGUGUGUAUAUAGUGUAUACAGUGUGUGUAUAGUGAAUGCAGUGUAUGUAUAGUGAAUACAGUGUAUGUAUAGUGUAUGCAGUGUGUGUACAGUGAAUGCACUGUGUGUAUAGUGUAUGCAGUGUGUGUGGCACCCGGGGUGGACAACCCCCGCAGCCACCUCCCCUUAAUACACCACUGGGUCAGAUCAUGCUCCAAUAAAUGUGGAAAUAGGGGAAGAGCAAGAUUCAGUGAUAAGAUCAUCCUGGAGGUUAAAUGAACCUUAAGAAGUUCUUAAAUCAGAUAGAAACUGCAGAUACUUGAAUAAAAAGAUCAAGGAGUUUAUUUUAGCGAAUAAUAACAGUGAAGUAACAAUAGGAACUCUGUGGCGUGCUUUAAACAGUUACAUAAGAGGGUUCAUAAUCAAAACGGGGAUUAAAGCUAAGAAGGAGAUGGGGAAAUCACUAAAUGAUCUGUCUAUCUGUAUAUUCCCUAGCGUAUUUAGAAAGAGAAAAUAAACAGAAUGUAACAAUAGACAAAACAACUCAAAUUCAAAAUUUUUAUUUAGAAAUUAAAAACGGCUUGGAACUUAAGACAUCGAAUGCUGUCCUCAAACUAAAUCAAAUAUGAUAUUAUGGAGAGAAUAGAGUCGGUAAAACUUCUUUUAAAUAAAAUCAAGCCUAGAUCAAAGGCAUAACCGAUUAGAAAAAUAAUUCAGGGUAAUGAAGUACAUCAAACACCUGAAGCAAUUAGUAAAGCGUUCAAAGAAUUUUAUGAAUCCCUAUAUAAUUUACCAGAUAUAAAAUCAUCAGUGGAAGAAAUGCAGCAGUUCUUAAAUAAACUUAAUCUCCCAGAAAUAGGGGAUUGUGAGAUAGAAGAACUGAACUCUCCUAUAACAAUUGAGGAGAUAACAGGGAACAUAAAAAAACUUGAAAUCAGGGAAAGCCCUGGGACCAGAUGGGAAAUCAUCCCUUUUUUAUAGAAAACUUCAAACUCUGAUCUCUCCAAAACUUGGUAGGUUGUUUAAUGGAAUAAAUAAGGAUUUGCAGUUUCCAUCAGAGAUGCUCCAGACACUUAUAACUUCUUUUUUAAAACCAGGAAAGGAUGAAAGUUUUAUGAGCAACUAUCAUCAUAUAUCCCUUAUAAACACUGAUAUCAAGUUAUUUUCAAAGAUAUUAGCGGAGAGAGGGAAAAAGUGCUCCUAAAUUUAUUACAUUCUGAUUAAACAGGGUUUGUUACUAAUCGAUCUGGUACUGAUAAUGUUCGAAAAAUCAUGAACUUAAUACAAGAAGUUAACGCUGAAUCAUACCCAUUGGUAUUUCUAGCUUUGGACGCAAAAAAGGCCUUCGUCAGGGUUAGUUGGUCCUACCUGUCGGAGGCCUUAAAAGAUUUUGGGUUCCAGGGCAGCAUUUUUAAUAGAAUAAUGAGCUUAUAUACAUCAUCCUCUGCAAAGGUAAGAGGGGAGGGGGCUCAAAUCUAGUUUUUUUAAAAUUAAAAAUGGGACAAGACAGGGUUGCCCAUUGGCUCCUAUGUUAUAUAUUCUGUAUAUUGAACCCGUUGCAGCAUUAAUUAGACAAUCAAAGGAGAUAGAGGGAAUUACUGUAACGGAGUCUUACCUGAUAGGGAGUCAAGCUCGUAGAGUUAUACGCUCACCCUUGCAAAGUAGACACAGACCAGGGUGACCAGGUAAGACGCCACCUGGCCUGUGAGUCUGUGCACGGGGGCUUUCCAGGAAAAGUGCUCCAAGACUCAGUACAGCAGGGAUAAGCAGAAGCGUGGUCAAGGAAAGCCAAAGUCAGGGGAAGCCAGAUAUCAGAGUAGUCCAGGAGGAAAGCCAAGGUCAGAAGCCGGAAUCAGACAGGAAAUACUGGAACGCGGAUAUAGCAAGACAGGAACCAAACAAGGGAACCAGAGUCAAUGAACUGACACCCCUCCCAGGGUGAGGCAGGCUUUUAUAUCCUGUUAAUUAGGAUCAGAUUCAGCUGGAGAGUAACUGACAGAUCAGAGCCUAAGUGAAGUCCAGACCCCUAGUGCUGCAGGUAAUACAAGAACAAACAGGAGUUAUCCAAAGUCCUGAAAUGGCUCAGAGGGAAACUAGCAGGACACGGUCCAGAAGGACCACAGUUCAAAUCCCCUAUCGGGCGCUUCCGGAGCGACCACGUCUGGCAGACUGGAUGUCACGGCGUGAACCGUGACAGUACCCCCCCGUCAAGAACGCCCUCCGGGCGUGAACAGGCUCUUCCUGGAAAUGGUAUUCCUCAUCUUCGGUCUCAGUAUCGCUAAGAUAGUCUUUAUAAUUAAGGUAUCCUUUUACGACCUGGGAUUUUAGGGUACCAGUUUCGGGUGCUAUAGGGGAGGCAUUUGCAGCUUUCAAAGCUUUUUCGAAGACUUCUAAAUCCUGUUUGCACACAACUGUGCCAUUUGAGGCAUAGGUGCAGUCAGGUGGCAGAACUGUUUUGGCAAGGCAGGAAGUGGUGCUUGCUUGAACAGAAGUGUCAUCAGGAAGAGGUCCAACUGUUUCUAGAGCAGGAGGUGAAGUUUCCACAGAGGUACUGGUAACAUUAACGGUAUUAGUUUGGGUACCCUUUUGUGUCACAGGACGGGGACAGGGCUGGCAGUGUCCAGGCUGUCUUGCUGGGAUGACAGGGUAAGUCCAUAUGGCACCAGACAGAAGGGGUCUUGGUCUAGGUGGACGAGUCGGGCAGAGCGAUAUGAAAUGCCCUCUUUUCCCACAGUAUAGACAUAGACCAUGGGCUCUCCUGCGAUCUUUUUCCUUUGGGGGCAAUCUAGUUUUGGUGAAGCCAAUCUCCAUGGGUUCCUCCAUGUCGACUGGAGUUUCACUGCUAGCGCGAGUGUAAACAGGGUUACAAGGCGGGUCCCUGAAAGUGGGUUCAUGCUGCAACAUGAUGGGAUUUUUGUAUCCAUAAAACAAUUCCUCUUCUCUCGGCAACCGGGUUCUGCGAGAACCUGAAGUAGGCUUGGAAGUUGCUUUUCUCGCUGCAAAACACUGAGAAUCCAUUGCGGACAUAAACAACUCCCAGGAGUCCAAGACAGUACUUCUCUCCUGCAACUUCUGGUGUGCCCACGCCUUAAUCCGCCCGGUACAUAGGUUAAUAGCGGAGCGUACUUUGAUAAAGUCGGUGGCGUAGGUUCUCGAUUUCAGGGCAAAUAGUAGCUCACAAUCCGUCUUGAACAUCGGAAAAGCAGAACGGGAACCGUCGAACCUGUCAGGCAUAAAGACAUACGGUUCUGGGCAUACAUGUUCCGGGACUGGAAGCGUUGCUCCUUUAAAUGCCAAUGAAUGUCUCUGCAAUUCUGUAACAUUCUGGGACAGGUUGGAGACUUGCUCGGCUAGGGAGGUGAGUAACUUGUAUAACUCUGCGGACUCCAUUGGUCAGUUCAUCUGUAACGGAGUCUUACCUGAUAGGGAGUCCAGCUCGCAGAGUUAUACGCUCACCCUUGCAAAGUAGACACAGACCAGGGUGACCAGGUAAGACGCCACCUGGCCUGUGAGUCUGUGCACGGGGGCUUUCCAGGAAAAGUGCUCCAAGACUCAGUACAGCAGGGAUAAGCAGAAGCGUGGUCAAGGAAAGCCAAAGUCAGGGGAAGCCAGAUAUCAGAGUAGUCCAGGAGGAAAGCCAAGGUCAGAAGCCGGAAUCAGACAGGAAAUACUGGAACGCGGAUAUAGCAAGACAGGAACCAAACAAGGGAACCAGAGUCAAUGAACUGACACCCCUCCCAGGGUGAGGCAGGCUUUUAUAUCCUGUUAAUUAGGAUCAGAUUCAGCUGGAGAGUAACUGACAGAUCAGAGCCUAAGUGAAGUCCAGACCCCUAGUGCUGCAGGUAAUACAAGAACAAACAGGAGUUAUCCAAAGUCCUGAAAUGGCUCAGAGGGAAACUAGCAGGACACGGUCCAGAAGGACCACAGUUCAAAUCCCCUAUCGGGCGCUUCCGGAGCGACCACGUCUGGCAGACUGGAUGUCACGGCGUGAACCGUGACAAUUACAAAAGAAAAACAACAAUACAAAAUAUCAUUAUAUGACAUAAUUCUCACUCUUACUAACCCUGAAGCCUCAAUCCCUGUCACUCUUAAAUUUAUAAUAGACUAUUGUAAGAUCUCAAAUUAUAAAAUGAAUUUAAGCAAAUCAUAUGCAAUUUACUUGAAUUUAACUUAUUUAAAUUUGUGUAGACUUAAGAAAAAUAUAACUUUAACUGGGCUUCAAAGACAUUAAAAUAUCUGGGAAUUAAUUUGGGAUUUGAUUGGAACAACAUCAUUACAAAUAAUUAUUCCACUCUCCUUCAAGAAAUACAAAAAUCACUUAUAAAAUGGAAACCUAUGUAUAUUUCAUGGUUGGUUAGAAUAACCUUAAUUAAUGAUUAUUUCACUUCUAAGCUCGAAUAUCUAAUGCGAUCCAUACCCAUAUCUGUUCCAAGAAGGAUUCUUCGGGAAUAUCAUAAUACAUUUCUGAAAUUUGUAUGGGGUCAUAAAAGACCUAGAACCCCAUACAAAAAUUUAACUCAAAAUUUAAGGGAUGGGAGAACAUCAUUUCCAGAUAUCUUUAUGUUACAUGAUGCUAUUAUGAUUACACACUUUAUAGUCUGGAAAUAUAAAAAAAUGGAUCACACCUCUUGGACAGGAAUCGAAAUACAUCCAUAUAAGAAAUUUGAGCCAAUAUGGUUAAUUUGGUUUGAUACCCCUGCUUUCAUAACACUCAAUAUUUCAAACAAAAUACUCAUAGAACAAUAUAGAUUUUUGAAUAAUUAAAAAAAGAAAAGAUAUAAUGUAAGUGAUACUUUAUCUAGUAAGAUAUCAAUAGAUAUAUUAUCAGGAUAUAUCUCUGGAGUAAAACUUGAUAAAUGGAAAGAAGAAGGGUGUAACGGACCGUUUUGCACACAAGGGGUAAAAACCGUUUAGGCGAUCGUCCCCUUUUCAGAGAUGCAGGCACAGCUACUGUAGAACACCAAACUCCUGAACUGCAAAUAAGGGAAUGCUCCAAACUCCCGAACGGCAUACAAUGUAACACUCCAAACUCACGAACUGGAACCAUAUGAAUCGCUGCUAGCAGACGAAUAGGAAAAGCAUCCAAGCGGCUUACACUCCUAGCAAUCAGUCUCUAUCAGCAUUCAGUAAAUCCCCCCAAAGACGAGACAAGGCUCAGUGUUGAGGGUCAAGCAGUGGUCUGUUUAAUGAGGGCUACCUGCCCAGUAUUUAUGCAGGUCUCCCACCUGGUGGACACUCCCCUAGGGGACCAAAUGGGAGACUGUGACAAAAGACAGACAAGUAGACAAAUAGGAUACACAGUCACAUUAUAUUCCCACAAUGCAUCCUGGCUUCCUCCCCUCUGCCCUGGAGAUAAUUGAGAAGUAAUUCAAUUAUCUCCCAGGACAAAGGCAAAUUGCCAUUAUGCAGGUGGGGAUACUAACACAAGAAUUACUAUUAAAAUAUACCAUGCAAGACACAUAACAUUAAAACCAUACAUUUAACCUAUCCCCAGAUAGCUCAGGUCUGAGCGCACAUUAUUAAGCGAAUGGCGCUCAGACCACACAAAUACAGUUUAAUCGCCAUGGAACCAAAGUCUUUACAGAGUCAGUUCUCAUACGAAUGGGCUCCCUGGGAUUCCUAUCUGGGGUAUAACAUAGUCAGGUAAAACUCCCGAACGCCAGGCCGUUCGUGCACUCCCGCCGAACAAGAAGGGAGGUCGGCGGCUUCAGCGGUGUUCGCGCCAAACUGUGUCCGUUUUUAGUUCUAUGAGUUAGGCGCCGAACACCGCUGUGCGUUCGCAUGUUUAAAAUGGCAGCGACCUCGUGUUCGGUAUACAAAUGGCGGCCACCCAGUAAUUGUCAAUUAAGCUGCGGUUAACCGCAGCUUCUGUGAGGCUAAUUGCCGGCACACUCCAGCUCCCAGGUGGUCCAGUCAUUCGUGCGGUUGUUCGGUAGAUUGAAUCUAACGAACACCUGGCAGAAAAGCACGGAUAAGUCUUUUCUGCAGGGGAAACAAAGUCUUUUAACAUGGGGGCCAUAAUCCAAAGGCAGCAGGCGAGCAACCAGGCUUCUCCAAUGCAAUGUGGCGAGAUUGCUCUCGUCACAAAGGGUUUAAUAGUCUAGGAGAUUUUUUUUCUUCCAGGAAACAAGAUUAAGACCUUAAAAGAAAUAUUAGAGAAUAACCCCCCUCUAAAAACAGAAUUCUUAACAUAUUUUAAAAUAAAAAAUAUACUUAGUCAUAAAAGAAUAAAAAAUAGUAUUAUUGAUAACAUCCUCUCAAUAGAGGAAAGAAACAAGACAAUUUCAAGGAUUAAUAGGAUACUAUAUGAACAAAAACCUAAAGAGAAGUUAGAGUAUCAUCAAAUGGGAGCAGGAAAUGGGAUUUGGGCUUUUGGAGGAAGAAUGGGCAAAAACUUUUAAGUUAACAAAAAAUACAAUCCAUAGUAUAUUGCUCUAUGAGAACUUUAUAAAGAUUAUUUUCAGAUGGUAUAUAGUACCUAAUACAAUUGCAAAAUUUCUAAAUAAUGACUAUAAUAGUCAAAAUAAGUGUUGGAGGUGUUAUACUGAUAUUGGUUCACAUAAACAUAUAUGGUGGGAUUGUACAAAAAUUAUCUGUACUAAAAAAUAAAUUAGAAUGCGAAAUAGGAAAAUUGUUGGGUGUAACAUAUACUUUAAGUAUUCAAAGUUUUCUCUUUCACAUAGACUUUCCUAAGAUUAACAAACCAUUACAAAUGCUUUUAAUCCAGAUUCUAAUGUCUACAAAAAUUUGUAUUGCCAGACUUUGGAAGACCCAAGAAACUCCAUGUUGGUCCGAAGUUAAAUUCCAAAUGGAUUUUCAACGAUUAAUGGAGAAAGCAGUAUAUAUAAACUUUGAAAACAUAGACUUGUGUUAUAAAAUUUGGGACCCAUGGGAGAAGUAAACAGAUAUAUCGGGGCCUAGUGAGUGCACGUCUACUCCCCCAACCCUCCCUACCGACAAGUGUGUCUGUCAGUAUAAGUGUGUAAGAUUUUGGUAGUAUAACUGAUGUUAUAGAUCCUACGGACAUUAAAUUUAGAACAAUUCUGUAUAUAUAGUAUAAGAUGAAGGAGUACAGUGAAUAAUAUUGACCGUUAAUAAUAAUAUAAUUUCAUAAUUGAAGGUUAAGGUAUAAAAAUUACAAAUAAUCAUAUUGUAAAAAUUGGAAUUAAUGAAAGUAUUUACACAUGAUAAUUUUGGUAUGUGAAAUUACCUUAGAUGGAAAAGAUACAAAAGGAAUAGAAUACCAAUCUCUGAUGAUCAUUAAUAGCUACCAUCAUGGUAUACCUUUCUUUUCUUUUUUAUCUCCCUAGUUAAGUUCUUGUUAUGCUAUGUUUUCUAUAGUCUGAUCGGAGAAAAUAAUGGCAAUAGAGCCACAAUAGAACCCAAACACCAGCUGGAAGCACCCAAAGUCAAAAACCCUGCAGAGACCCAGUGGUACUCGAAUAAAUGGGACACAGUCUAACCUUUUCCAAUAUAACCAUUGAAAUCUUCAUAGCUUAAUUGGUUCAUAGGUUAAUUGGGUGCAGUGUAAGCCAUGAUUGGUGAAAUAAUGACACUUACUGUUGUAUGUAAAAAAAUUAUUUUCUUUACAUAUCAAUAAAUCAUAUAAUAUGAUAUUCACAUAUCAUAAAUGCUGCUUUGGGAGUGGUAAGGAUACUUUUUCAGCAUUCAUUUUUAUUUUAUAUUAUAUCAUUAUUUUUAAAUGAAAAAAAAGAGCUUCAGGUCUCAAAGUUUGGUUUGCAGAAACAAAAUAAGAACCUAUUGUUUCCUGUGCGCAUAAUUAAUGUUUAAAAAUGUUUCACGUUCUGAUCUCCCUUUCACCAUGCUAAGGAAAUGACUCCGGCUUAUGGCUGGUUUUAACAGGGAUGCUUAUAAGAUAAAAUGUGUAAUGAAUAAUUUUAAUGAGAAUAGUGUACACAAUAUGCCAAAGUCUAUUUAAUCCAAUUCAUUUGUGAAAUAUGGAUGUUUUAUGAGCGGUUUAUAAGCAGUCAUGGUCAUAUUAUCUUGUGUCUAUUUAGCAUUAAUCUUAUGGAAAUACAUACAUGAAACACAUGAAACCUUUCUGCAUGACUGACCUUGACAAUUAGGCUGCAUUUAUCUCAUUUUGUUUUCUGUUUACUUUGAUUUUCCAGUGCCCUCAGACACAGAGGUCUAAUUCGCUAAAUGCCGAAUAUGCUUUUGGAAUUUCGCCUGAUUGCAUUCAACUCAAUUUAUUUAAUUUACAACAGAAUUGUAAUUGAACUGAGCCAAAUGGAUCUCUCCUCUUUUCAAACUGAUCUCAUUGCUGCAGUUAGAUUAAUUUAAAAACAGCUCAACCGAAUUACAGCCAAAAUGAAGCCAAAUUGUAAGUAAUAAAAUAAAAAAUAAAAAUGCCACCAAUGAAGUAGUUAAGUGUGGGGAGAGUUAUGGUUGGGGUUGCCUUAGUGUGUUAAGGUGACCUAGGGUACUAUAAUUGGGCUAUUUGUGAACAGCCGAUUCACUCAUGAUAUAUGGAAAAUUGGCUGAUUUCUACAGACUUUUGAACUGUAACCAAACAGAAGUUGAAAUAACCAAAUUUGCGAAUGGGUUAAAACAGCCGAAUUGUCUGGGUGUGGUGCACGGUCAGAUACGCGAGGCGAUUGACAAAAACCCAUUCCCCGCUGACUGCCCUUGUACACAACCCAGACCUAGCAGACGGACUGAAACCGACUGACUUAGUUGGGUUUCAGGGCUCAGACUGUAAAUAUAUUUACCAAUGGCACAGAAACCUGAAAGCCGUUACGGACUUGAUCACAGACAGACAGCCGACGGCCCUAGAGAGGUUUCGAUACCACCAAAUACACACCUACUACUAGGCGUCAAAGGGUCGCCUACAAUUCCACAAAACAUAUACACAAUUUGAGACUUACUGCACAGCUAGGGAACACUUACACAGAGGGGUCUCAGCCCUAUAUGCCUUACUGAUGAUGGGAGAGGAUGACAGACCUCCGGGAUUCAUAUCCCUAUGGGAAAGGGAAACAGGAGUCACACUAUCAGAGAACGACUGGAAUAAAAUAUACAUACUAACACAUAAAUGCUCACUUGGAGUAAAAUACCAGGAGCUAAGCUACAAGCUCUUAACCCACUGGUACAGGACCCCAGAUGUGCUACACUGAAUAAACCCUGACAACCCCGACACCUGCUGGCGUUGCGGCGAAGAGGCCGGGACUGGUGUGCACAUCUGGUGGUCGUGCUGGUGAUUACCCCCUUAUGGACUAUGGUAAACACAAAAAUAUGUAAAAUCACAGGCACAGACCUCCCUCACCAACCACUUCCUAUGUUCCUGCACCCCACAGACAGCACGGUGUUGACAUACAAAAAACUGCUCACAAUGCACUUACUCAUGGCCACGAAUUCCCUGGCCACUGAAAGCAACCGGGUGCGCCGACCUUUCUGCAAUGGGUGGUGAAAGUUGAGGAGAUACACUCCAUGGAACAUAUGACUGCAGACCUUAGAGGUGGCUCCGACAAGUGUGACCUGAAAUGGUACCCCUGGACCGAGGGGGAGGAAGUGCAGACCUAGACGCUAACAUCAGGUCAUAGUCCUCCGGCAAUGCACAGGAAACAAUGACAUCCCCAACAAGACACCGGGACGGAGCAAACCACGACACUAGAGAGGGGACACUCACAAGCUCUGACCAACAGAACUGAUGUUGUUAACUGAGACAUGGCAUGCAGCGGUGGCAAUGAAAUAUAGAACUAUUACUUGCUCCCCCCCACCUUUUUUUUCUUUCCUUCUCCUUCUCUGAUCUUCUCUUUAUCCCUACCGCACUCUCCCUUCACUUUUUCCCCUGGAGUCGAUAUUCUCCCCUAAUUCACCCCACCCCACCCCUGUCCCGCUGGUAAGACAGCGCAGAAGCAACUCCAGCCCAAAAGCAUGGAGAUAGCCAUGAACCCAAAGUAGAAAACAGCACUCGCAGCACACACAGCCUGAAUCCACCCAAAAACUGAACACAGGAAUGAGGGCUUACGUUUUGGAAGUGGAUAUGUAAAGCUACUGGUUGACUUAAUAACUGUAUGUAAAAUGCUUCUACUUCACUAUUUCACAAUAAGCCAAACUUUCUUGAUGAAAAUACAAAAAUAAAGAUUGUAAAACAAAAAAAACUAAUAGUAUUCAAUUGCUGUUCAGCGUUUAGAGCAGAAGUAGGUAACCUUUUUGUAGUACUGUGCCAAAAGAAGAUUUUAAAGUCCCUUGGCAUGCCAAUCCUAAAUGUAUAAAUUGAGGUGUGUUGCUGUUGCUGUUUUCUGGUUGAGUUAUUUGUGGGUGCUACCGUUAUUUGUAGCAUUGUAUUUGUGCGUAUGUGGGCUGUUAUUGUACAGUAUAAGUUCAUGAGUAGCUUGUGGUAUUGUGGUAUUUUGUAUGAUGCCUAUGAAUGUGGGCUGUGUAUGGCGGGCUGCUUUUGGAAUUUUGUGUGGAUGAUAUGUGCUGGGAUGACUUGAUCUGAGAUCACUUCCUCUAAGUGUUGCAGUGUGUAAAUUGAGGAUUGUCCCUCACCAUUUGUAAUCACCACUCAGUUUGCACCAGGGACUCCUGAGAGGCCAGAGCUUUUUGCCUGUUGCAAAAGCCCCUCGAGUACCAUGCAUGGCACACAUGCCAGAGGUUGUUGACCCUUGGUUUAGAGUUUAGAUACCACAGUGUUUGCAACUCAACAAAGAAAAUACUAAAUAAAAUAAACAAAACACAACUUUUACAUCAAAAUUAGGGGUAUUUACAAAUGCAGUUUAAUUUAGUCAUGGCAAUGUUUUUUUUUUUCUGUAAAUUGUUUAUUCCAACAUUACUUUAGAAAAACACAAUUUUUAGUUAUGUGAGUAAUUUCUUCAGGAUAGAGAAUUCCCAUUAUUGCAAAGGCAUCCGAGAAUAGUCAUCAUAAUUUGGUGUCACUAUACCAAGAACAUUGAGUUUUGGCCAUUUCUUUCAAAUACCAAGAGGUAGCUUAAAAACUUUAUGUUUUGUCAGCGUCUUCCAAUUUUAUUAUACACACUUAAAGGAAUGAUGAAAGUAAAUUGGAUUCAGAUAUUUAUGGCAAAACUCCGGAGGACUAUCCAAGACCUUUUUGGUUUACAAACACAUUAAAGAGUGUGAAUUUAAAAAACAACAACCACAAAACUUUUACACAAUCAAACAAUGUUAAUUGAACAAAACAUAUCUCACUGGCUACUGCAUUUUUCAAUAUAUACUUCAGUUUACACGUCAGGGUUUUGUUUCUAAAUGUUUUUCAUUGUUCUUAAAAGUUUUAAACGCACAAUAUGAUAGGAACUACCAGUGUUCAAAUAUUGCAUCUCUUGUUUUAAUAACAGCAAUAAAAUAUUUUAGAAUUGGUCAGUGCUUUUCAAAUGUGGCAUAGCCACUGGAAAACCAAUUGUUUCAGUUUAAGCUUAAUUAAAAUAUUUAGUUUUGUAAUAAAUAAAACAAAUAAAAUGUUCACUUUCUUGAGGCACUCUGAAAAAAAUACUACUGUAAUAAUAAUAAAACAUUAUUAUUAUAUCUAUAUCAAGGGGACCCUCCAAGCUGUAGAUGACCACGUUUGUUAAAAGAAAAAGAUAAAGGAAAGAAAAAGGGAAAACAGUUUAACUUUUUGCAGCUUAUACACUUGUAGGCUGACCAUUUUAUUUACCAUUAUAUGUGACUAAAACCUCAUUUUCAUCAUAACUUUAAUAUGACAUUGAUAAGUCCUGUUAGAUCUCUAAAUAACAUUGCGCCUCUGAUGGGUACUGAAAAUAUAAUAUACCAUGUGACUGAAGGUUUUGUAAGCUAUGGAUCUUGCCUGAAUUCCCAUCUCGCAAACAAGACUUUGAAAGAGAUUAGUCCUUACGGAGUCAUAAUUCAAUAAAAUCAAUAUAUUUUCAACUGCAUGUAUAGUUAUGAAUGUAUCUAUCAGUCUGUGUUUAAAAAUAAAUAAAUUAUUCUUUAUUUAAAAAAAAAAAAAAUACAGUGUAGCAGUGACAUGUGAUAUAGUUAAAGAUAGAGUAGAUGAUCAGGAGGUAAACAUGACGUAGUGAUAAGCUGCACAUUCUUUCAAUUAUGUAAAGUAAACUAUAUAAACAAAUUGGUCAUUUGUGUCCUGGUAACAGGUGUGUGACAAAAACUCUGUAUUUUAUUCACCCAGUUAAGUUCCCUACGUUCGGUAGAUGGAUCUACCAAACACCGACCACCUCCCUGGCUCAUAAACUUAAAAUAAACCACAAACUCAAGUGCUCUCUUUGUGUGGCCGCUGUUUUCAUAACCAAACAACACGCGCUGGAGAAAACGGUGGCCAUCUUGUCACACAAAAGCAGGCAGCGGGACUUGGUCGUCGAGUGUCUGAAACAAUAAGUCGGACACUCGACCUUGCGAACAUUGGUAAUUUCACACUAAUGCCUGCUUCUUUCCACGACAAGCCAGGAGAGCGCUGUUUGGUAGGAUUGUUCGCACGAACAAGGCGAACAAUCGCUACCUAUGAGCCAGGGAAACCGUUCGUCUUUUUGUUUGUUUUGGAACUCCCAAAAUUGACCGACCACUACCACUGACUCUCUGGAACUAAUUUGAGCAGGCACCACGUGUGCGGUCAGUCAGAACUUUACCUCGGUGGCGAUUUAGCUGUUUUCGGAGGAUCUGAGCGUUAUUAGGAUAUGUUAGGCACUUAGAUCCAGGCUAUCCGGGGAUAUAAUAUUUGCGGGGGUCACUCUAUGUGUUAUAUGUAUUUUGGGGUAAUUUAUGUUUUAUGAUUUGUACCUCCAGUGCCUGGGAGAUGAUUAGUUUAAGUAAAGUACACUAAAUUAUUUCCCAAACACAGAGACGCCUGGGAGUGUCUUGGGCGUGUUUUGGGCAUGUUGUGGGAGUGUCAUACUAUGUCCUUGCUUGAGACCCCAUGCUGUACCCCAUGUUGUACCCUUCAUCAAGUCUCGAGUGAUUUUUGGGUAUGCGAACGACGAACCGAUUGAUUUAUUCUCAGCGUACAAUGUGAACAGGCUAUAAUCAUUAAACCUCUAGCAUUUCGGGAGUGUGCGAACAAAUGUACUUCAUGAAGUACAUGAGGUUGGUUACAAGGUGUAAUAGACUAAUCGUUAGCGCUGGGCACAAAGGUACCAAUCAAGGGUAAACAUAGGUUUAAGAUUUUAAACAAUACACAAGGUUUAAACCACCAAAGAGUGUAGUAAUUGGGCACUAGAUGCACAUCACAGCAGGUUUAACAGGUUAUUGUGCUCAUAAGGAGAGACACUGCAGCAGGGCACUCACUGUGGCAGGAUAUUUAAGGUCCAGCGUCCCUAGGAUGGUAGUCUAUUCAGCCAAUGCCCAUUGCGUUCAGGCAGAAUCCAUGGAGGUGGAGAUGGUAGCUGAAGUCCCCUGUACUGUCAUAUUGUGCGUCUGCCCUUCAGGUCCAGGCUCCAGCAGGUGCUUUCCUCUUCCACCAGCAGAUUUCCCGCUGUGUAUCAAGGGAGGAGGCUUGAUAUCUGGGGGAGAGAUGUUUCCUCCAGGUGCGCGGCCUGUGCUUGGUUACUCGAGCCGGUUUAGUGCUGCGCCGAGGCCGGCAUCUUUAGGCAACAACAUUAGGCUGCAAAUAAUUCAAGAAGUGGAGCGAUAUUUAGGUGACAAGUCCCAUACCACAUGCAUAUGGGGCUUGUCACCUAAAUAUCGCUCCACUUCUUUAAUUUUUUUAGAUGUUUUAAGAUGUGGUGAAGGUUGUCCAUGGAAGUGUUGUAGCUGAAAGAUUAUUAUAAACUUUUCCAAAUCUGGUGAUUAUCAUUUUUAUAUGACAAACUUUUCUGCUCAUUUAAAAAUUCUUAGCGCUCCGAUAUAUUUGAAUCUUUUGUUUCAUUAGGCUGCAAAUGUCGUCCGCAGUUUUGCACAAGCUGUCAGCAAGUCUAAAAGGUGCCCAAGGAUUGCUGUCUGUCUUUUACUUACAUGAAGCUGUCCCUCAUGGCCGCUACCAUGGUCUUCCUGUCAGUCCUCUUCAGCUCCUGUCUUGUCCUCUGCCAGAGCCCAGGUCAGUGCUGUACUCUUGUGUGUGUAUGUAUGAAAGUACAACACUGAGGUCUAUGGAGGAUUCUGUGAGGCCGAAGGACUCCCCAUAGACAAGGCCUUAUUCCCCUAAACUUUCACCUGGGGGAAAUGACAAAACCUGUCAAAAGGUGUGUGAUGAAAGUAACCUCGUCACUGGCUUUUGGAUGGGCCUGGAUGGGCCUGUUUGCCAGCCUCCUACCCUGUGAUUAUGGCCCUGAGACAAACUGAACCUCGUCACGGGUUCUUGGAGGGGCCUGCUGGCCAGCGUCUUGCCUAAGGACUAUGCGCCCUGCAAUAUACCUUGCCCAAUGCACUUUAAAAGGCUCUGUCCAUGGGAAGUAUGUACUUUUGUCCUCCAGACAGAGAGACCGACCGUUAGCCCUAUGUAACGGAUCACCUGGCACCCGUUAGCCCUCAGUUGAAGGAUGCUCCUAGCGCUUACAGAGGGCUCCAAGCGCUCCGCCAGACACCACAACCACCGUAGACCCCACGAACCGCCACAGCUUGGUUGGGGUCUCGCCGUCUCCUACCCACCCUGGACCUAUGAAAAGGCUCCAGGUUCCAGUGGGUGAACCUCUCCUCCAAGAGAGUGAAGCAGGAACAAGCUCUUAAAAGAGCUUAGUAGUGAUUAGCUAAGGGAGCAUGCAGAGCAUAGCAAUCCCUUGUAGUGAUAUAGCAAUUCCCCCAAUAAGAGACUGGCACAUACAGCCUCUUUUAUUCACAUUCUACAAACAUAGUACUGCCCACAGAGUUUUGAAGAACAACCAAUCAACACAUUACAACACAGCUAACACUCCCAUUAAUUACAUCAGAAAUCCUCCCCUCUGCCUGUGAUACAAUUAUCUCAACACAAUAGACUAACUUAAUUAUCACAGGCAGGAAAAUACAGUAUUAUAAAACAUAUCACAGGGACCCCAAAACAUGCAAAAAAACCAUAAAAACCGGAUUCAGAUCCGUUCAGUAGUUUGGAAGAUACGGUUUAAUGCAGAUUCCGCAGAACAUAUACAGGCUAUAUGAAAAAGAAUUACUGUUAAAUGUGUCCCCUGUUCUGUAGUUUAAAACUACUGAACGAUGUCUUUGUGCACCAAAUACCGGCGAGAUGGCACUGUGUAGAAAAGUCAAAACAGUGUCUGUGAGUUAAAAUGGCCGCCAUCCAUUGUUCUCACCAUGUGCUUCAUCCAUUGUUCUCACCAUGUGCCUCUGAUACAUGAAAUGGUGGCCACUCAGUAACUCCACAGUAUGUCCCCAGGUGGUUCUUAAAGGGCCAGCAGCAGCAUAAUAAAAUACAGUAUGCCCAAAUCAGUUCCUUAAAGGGAAAUACAUCCCAGGGCCAUAGUCGCAGGGCAAGAGGCUGGCAAACAAGCCCCUCCAAAAACCAGUGGCGAGGUCACUUUUGCCACACCCUAAUUCUCUGGAACAGUUUUGGGCAUGGGACCAUGUGCACGGUGGGUCAAAAAUAAGACUUCCAGGAAAUUCUUGAACCCCUGAACUGAUCUGGGUGAUUUUUGGAUAUGUUGGUCACCCAGAUCAGGGCUAUCAGGGGAUGUAACAUUUGUGGGGUAUUUUUAGGGUACUUUUGGGGUGUUUUAAAAAAGUAUGUUUUUUCCGUGCUUGGAGAUAAUUGGAUUAGAUUAGUACAGUUCCUGAUUCAAUUAUCUCCAAGGCAGAGGGGAGGGAUCGUGUGUUUGUAAAUAGGAGUGUCAUGCAUUUAUCCAUUGUUGUUAUUGGUCUGUGACUUGGUGCUGGAGUUCCCCACAAGGUGCAGGUAAGAGUGCCCCUUACAUGGGGACUUGCAUAUAAGGCCUGUGGUGGCUGCCAUUGAACAGAAUGCUUUACCCCUUCAUGAAGGCUCAUGUUUCGGGGAUUGGAAAACUACAUUCACUCUAGGGAUUGCUAUAUCACAAUACUCCCCUGAGUAUAAUCACUAGCUCUUCUAAGAGCUGUUCCUGCUACGCACUCUGGAGUAGGAGAGGCCUACACACUGGAAGCUGGAUCCUGGUCUUGGGUCCAGGGUGGGAGGAGGACGGCGAGACCCCAACCAAACUGCGGCUGUUCAUGGGGUUUACGGUGGUUAUGGUGUCUGGUGCGGUGCUUAUGGUACUCACAAGCACUAGGAAGCAGCGAUUGACGGAGGUACCCGGUCAGGGUGCCACGCAGUCCGUCACAAGGUGGAGUUCACACUUUGUCUUGGUUUAUCUUUUGACUGCAUUGGUAUUUCACUGAAAUUCAAACACAGUCAAUGUGAGUAUUUCAUAAAAGUCUAUCUGUCUUUGUUUUCCUUUCUGUUCUUCUAAGGUGAUCAUAGCAACAAUAUAACUGAAACAAAAUAUAAAGUGAUUUUUAUAGUGUAGGUAUAAAAUCAUAGGUCAGUAAACCAAAAUAAAUAUUUAUUGGCAAAUACCUCUAUGCUGUAAAAUGUAAAUACAAUUGAUGUAGGAAUCUUUCCAUCAUUCUGUCUUUAUGUUGUUCUCCUAAAACUGCUGGAGGGGAAUCUGCUGCACCUUUUAAAAGCACAGCUGUGCAUUUAUGGAUAUGAAUACAUCCUUUUACAAAUGUAUUCUGUAAUAUAUUAUAACUGUGCUGAACUUUAGCUUUUAUUCUUCAGCAAUAUUUUAUUUGAUAUUUUAAUGUUAAAGCUCUUGCAUUCUACCCUUAUGUGUCAAAAUUUAAGUAUGAUUAACAGUUUUUUUCCCCUAUCACUCAUUUUAGAAACCAAAGGUACUAAUUUGUUAAUUGCUAAUUAGCCUCACCAAUUUUUCUUUUCUUUUCUUUCCUCCCUGGGAGAGCCUGGUGGUGUGAGCAGGCAAUACCAAGAGGUUCUUCGUAGCAGUCAUUGUCACUCAUACUGUGGAAAAAAUGUGUCCUGCUUUCUGGUGCCUAGCAGAGUUGGAGGCAAAGAAGAUACCAGCCAUGGAUGUUCCUAACUGAGGAUUCUCUUUGUCAUGAUCACACAUGCAUUGUAUCCCAAGAGUGCUAACAUGCAUGCAUCUGCCACAGUCUCUGCACCUCUUAAAGUGCAAGUCCCGCUUUGUUGUGACAGAGCAGAAGGGUGGUAUAGUCGAUUGCUGUUUUCAGUAGACUGUCUUAUACGUGCAUGGACGUUUUCGUGAGGCCUUGCUUCAAGUGACCUUCUGCCCAAGUGAGCAAGUCUUUAGUCAGACUGAUGCUUAGGUGGAUAUGUCGCCCAGAGGGUCCUCACCCCGAAGUUUGCUCUUCUGGUCUUCCUCCCGAGCUUUAGACAGAGUGCCUGUCAUAUGAUUUUCAAGCAUAGCCCAGAAGCACGUCCGUCUCGCUUGAAGGUUUUAGCUCCGCCCCUGAGUCUUUAUCUUUUUAUCUCUUACUGACAUGCCAGGUGCCAUAUCAUAUUUCUGUGUUGAUGCUUCAGAUUCAUCUAUUGCUUAAACAAAGGGCACAACCACAAGUGUAUAUGAAAUUUUUUUUAUUAAAUGGGUCACAGUAAUAGGCUAUCUCAUUAACUGUAUCAAUGAAUGAAAAAGACAUGCAAUGUCAAAUGAAAAGUACAAUGUAACACCUACAAGUUCUACAGUAGCCUAUAGACAGUCUACACAUUGCAUAAAUCACUGAAUACAAGUAUCCAAAAGUAGCUGUAUGAGAUACCCAAAAAUUAUUGUAAACCCAAAAACAAUUAUAAAUAAAAAGAAAAAAACAUACAGUUAAGACAGUGCAUGUAUCUGUGUGUAUCACCUCCCUAGAGGGCGUGGGGAAACACACCUAUACAUAAAAGUCUUAUAUACCGCCAGGAGACUCCAGGAGUCUCAACGGGGCUUAACCCCAAAUAGAAUAUGCCACAAAAAAGAUAGAAAAAAUGCAGACAGG